This 1020-nucleotide long non-coding RNA is filed under the name Bos grunniens (domestic yak). RNAcentral's name for it is "lncRNA (ENSBGRG00000021748.1)". The record is from RNAcentral. Lineage: Eukaryota; Metazoa; Chordata; Mammalia; Artiodactyla; Bovidae.
CCGACCGUGUCCCCUGGCCACACUCCCUCCAUCUGGUUGUGUUCAGUCCGAUCCGCCGCCAGGCGGCGCUUGAGUGCAGCCCACUCCGGCAAUCCGGCUGCAAGGCUCAGCUGCCAGCCCUCCUCCUGCCUGAUGCGACGUUUCUAUGGCAGCCAAGCGCAUCAAACUUUGGCCGGCCAGUGCACCUGGGGCACCAGGGCAAGGUGAAGAUAUUUGCUCCUAAUGCUGAGCAGAUGCGCAUCAUUAAUCACUUGGAAGAGAGCCCAGCAGAAAAGAGGAGAAAUGUGCUGGAGGAAAGUGCCAGGAGGGCCAAUGAGGAUGCACUAGACUUGGCAGACCUGAAGUUCAGCGAGCUCGGUGCUGUCGGUGUGCCUGGCAGUUUUGGGGUGGCCCAGAACUGCAUGGUCAACAGCUCUGUGAAGGACACUUCACGCCUUCCACUGUGCUAAGAAGCCCACGAGCUGGUGCUGCAUUGCCCUGUGCUGGCAGCUGAAACCGUCCUGCUUGUGAAGUCACAGUGGGUCAGGAUAAUACUGGGGAUGGAGGGGAAGAAAAGGAUGAAAAGCUUCCUGUCGGGUAAGCACUUUCCUACUUCCCUUCCUCUGGAUGAAUAUAAAUGUAGCUGCUUUUCUGAUAGCUUAAUGAAUUAUCUUUCGUUACCAGUCUGCAGUAUUUGGUGAUUGGCAUUAAUGUGGGGGUGGGCAUAGCAAGGGACUGUAGUUUAAAGCGAUAAGACCAGGUGGUGUUGAAUCACAGAGAAGAUGUAUUCUUACAAAAUACUCUGGCUUAGUCUAUAAGAAGAAUAUUUCAAUAUAGCAAUUCUCUUAUAUGAUAUCAUUCAGCUGCAUGGCUCCAAUCGCGCUUACUUGAAUUGUUUCCUAUCCGUCCUAGUUCAUAAAGCCUUCCUUUCUCUUACUAACUGGCUGGUUCAUUGAAGCCUCAUGUUGGGAUGGAUUCCUUAUGUGCACAGUGCCUGUGAGCUUUUGUUCUGAAUAUUGCUGUGUUUGAGCGGCCAGUGCG